CCUACGGGAGGCAGCAGUGGGGAAUAUUGGACAAUGGGCGAAAGCCUGAUCCAGCCAUGCCGCGUGUGUGAAGAAGGCCUUCGGGUUGUAAAGCACUUUCAGUGGGGAAGAAAGCCUUGGGGCUAAUACCCUCGAGGAAGGACAUCACCCACAGAAGAAGCACCGGCUAACUCCGUGCCAGCAGCCGUGGUAAUACGGAGGGUGCGAGCGUUAAUCGGAAUUACUGGGCGUAAAGCGCGCGUAGGCGGUCUGAUAAGCCGGUUGUGAAAGCCCCGGGCUCAACCUGGGAACGGCAUCCGGAACUGUCAGGCUAGAGUGCAGGAGAGGAAGGUAGAAUUCCCGGUGUAGCGGUGAAAUGCGUAGAGAUCGGGAGGAAUACCAGUGGCGAAGGCGGCCUUCUGGACUGACACUGACGCUGAGGUGCGAAAGCGUGGGUAGCAAACAGGAUUAGAUACCCUAGUAGUC
RNAcentral lists this ribosomal RNA (465 nucleotides) under Vreelandella stevensii. RNAcentral's name for it is "partial 16S ribosomal RNA". It matches the Rfam family "Bacterial small subunit ribosomal RNA", at positions 338 to 795 of the family's 1533-position model. Lineage: Bacteria; Pseudomonadati; Pseudomonadota; Gammaproteobacteria; Oceanospirillales; Halomonadaceae. The record is from RNAcentral.